This 292-nucleotide ribosomal RNA is filed under the name uncultured bacterium. RNAcentral's name for it is "partial 16S ribosomal RNA". The record is from RNAcentral.
GGACUACCGGGGUUUCUAAUCCUGUUUGCUCCCCUAGCUUUCGUGCCUCAGCGUCAGACUCUGUCCAGAUAGCCGCCUUCGCCACCGGUGUUCCUCCUGAUAUCUACGCAUUUCACCGCUACACCAGGAAUUCCGCUAUCCCCUCCAGAACUCUAGCUCGUCAGUAUUGGAUGCAGGCUCUGGGUUGAGCCCAGAGUUUUCACAUCCAACUUAGCGAACCGCCUACGCACCCUUUACGCCCAGUAAUUCCGAACAACGCUUGCCCCCCUCGUAUUACCGCGGCGGCUGGCAC